UCGCACGGGGACGAGACUAUAACUACUUUUCCCUAAAGAGAAGGGAGGGAAGGAAAAAAAAAAGAAAAAAAAAAAAAAGGGGGAGAAAAAAGAAACACAACACCCUCGUGAUAUCAAAGUAAAUAAUCGUGCAGGGGGAGGCGGGGGAAGGGGUGAAUUCAGCAAUGUUAAAAGCUAAACAACAGAUCUAUCUCCGGACGCUGCUGCUUCACUCAAUUGCAACUAAUAACCCAUUAAAGACAGCGCAGGGGGAACUGAAUUCUCUCCUGCAAAGCGACAUAAAUCCAGAGAAAACCCAUUAAACCACCGCCACCGCCACCAAGCCACGCAGCACUACACACCACAGCAAACAACAGUGAAGGCGAUGGUUACUGCUGUCAAUCUUGGCAAUCAAUGUGAGCGGCCAUGUCGUAAGUAUUCAAAGCAUUUCCCGUCGUGCAACAUCAGAAAGUGAGUGGCCAGGGCAUUGAUCUGAGGAAGGCAAAAGGAGGCAGGGCUCCCCCGCCCAGACAGCACAGGCAAGAUGAGACAACACAGGGAGAGAGAGGAGGGAGAGGGGAAGGGAGGGAGAGACAGAGAGAGAGAGAGAGAGAGGCUGGGAGCGAGCGGGGAGAGCAACAACUGCGGAGAAAGUGAGCACAAAACAGAAAGUGAAAUCGGCGCGGGCUGCCAGCCGCAUCCCCGCGCAGCUAUCACCACUCACAGGGCCAUUAGACACAUGAAACCCUACACCGCUCCGCUCCCGCUAAUGACCACUGAUUGCCCGGAGUGGUGAGGAAAGGGAACACCCGCCGUGCGGAUCCGUACACACGUGCCGGGAAACAAGAAAACGCUUUCACUUGGAGCGUUACCCCACGUUCAGAAACGCCUUUGGAAUGACUGCUGCCCUGGCUUUGGCUUCAUGAAGGCUCAAGGCAGGCAGAUGCUGAGGAGGGAUGCUGACCUGCUGGGGGUGCCUGCACAGGGAAGGGACUGCAGGCGCUCACAUCAGGUCGGGGCACUUACCUGUGCACAGCUGUCAUGGCAUUUUGCGCCGUGUGUCUCACCAAAUGCCUUAAAGUAAAGCAAUGUUCAACAAGCGAGGCAACCUGUCUGUGUGCUAAGUUGUACGUACCGCAUCUUUAACCUGAGCAGCAAACCUGCAACUCCUGGAGAGUUGGCGGAACAGCCUCAGAAGUUUUGGACUCAAAGGGCGAGAAAUUUCACUUUAAAAGUCAUUCACCCACUUCUGAACUGCCCUCUCACCCCAGUUAAUGCCGGACAAUUAAGAGGCAUGUUUCUAAAUUCCCUCUGCGGACACUGUCCGACAAUGAAGGCUUGUUACAGGCUUGCUAAAGAUGUUCAGAGAAACUUUUGCGAAAUAAUCAACAGCAUCUGAGAGAAAGCUAAAGGAAAAGAAGUUAAAGCCUGAUAAUCCGAUUGGGAAAAAGUUUUGUUAGACUAGAUAGAAGUAAAUUACUGCACGUUUCUUCAAAAGCAAACCCAUCAGCUGAUACGAGUUCCCCUAGAACAAGAACCUCUGGCGAGCUCCUCCAAAUUUAGGGGACGUUUGCAUUUUGUAACACUUAAAGCUAAAGAUCUGCCUGAAAACAAAAACUCUGAAUUCCUUACAGCGUCAUCUGCCAACAAAAUGUAUUGUCUUGGCAGAGAAAGGAUCAAGGAGAUUUUAAUUUCAUUUUAAACUGUGCAUCAUCUUGAUAGCAAAGGAAAAAGCCGCAGCAACAAUCUCCCCGCUCCACGCCCCCGCCGUUAAAAAAAAAAAAAAAAAAAAGGGGGGGGAAGAGAGAACUGGAAAAACCACAUAAACUUUUACAAAGAAAAUAAAAGCAAGUUCGACAUGAAAACCCCUUCCUGUCUCGGAAAGUUCAUUUUAAAGGUCCCUUCUGUAAAUCUAAAGUGCAAACACCAGGCUAAGGUAGUGAGUGGCUGGAAUUUGCAUGCUGAUAAGAGAAGGCUGUUGUACUUACA
Passer domesticus (house sparrow) is the source of this 1968-nucleotide long non-coding RNA. RefSeq lists it as uncharacterized. Lineage: Eukaryota; Metazoa; Chordata; Aves; Passeriformes; Passeridae. The transcript is spliced from 3 exons. The record is from RefSeq and is a predicted model, not a curated record.